This 77-nucleotide transfer RNA is filed under the name Planctomycetota bacterium. RNAcentral describes it as "Planctomycetes bacterium (groundwater metagenome) tRNA-Arg". It matches the Rfam family "tRNA". From Rfam's summary of the family: Transfer RNA (tRNA) molecules are approximately 80 nucleotides in length. Their secondary structure includes four short double-helical elements and three loops (D, anti-codon, and T loops). Further hydrogen bonds mediate the characteristic L-shaped molecular structure. tRNAs have two regions of fundamental functional importance: the anti-codon, which is responsible for specific mRNA codon recognition, and the 3' end, to which the tRNAs corresponding amino acid is attached (by aminoacyl-tRNA synthetases). tRNAs cope with the degeneracy of the genetic code in two manners: having more than one tRNA (with a specific anti-codon) for a particular amino acid; and 'wobble' base-pairing, i.e. permitting non-standard base-pairing at the 3rd anti-codon position. Lineage: Bacteria; Pseudomonadati; Planctomycetota. The record is from RNAcentral.
GCGCCCGUAGCUCAGCUGGAUAGAGCGUCUGCCUCCGAAGCAGAAGGUCGUGGGUUCGAAUCCCGCCGGGCGUACCA